RNAcentral lists this ribosomal RNA (396 nucleotides) under uncultured Nitrososphaerota archaeon. RNAcentral describes it as "bacterial SSU rRNA". It matches the Rfam family "Archaeal small subunit ribosomal RNA", at positions 347 to 745 of the family's 1478-position model. Lineage: Archaea; Thermoproteati; Nitrososphaerota. The record is from RNAcentral.
ACUUUGCAAUGUGCGAAAGCACGACAAGGUUAAUCCGAGUGUUUCCUGCUAAAGGAAUCUUUUGUCAGUCCUAAAAACACUGAUGAAUAAGGGGUGGGCAAGUUCUGGUGUCAGCCGCCGCGGUAAAGCCAGCACCUCAAGUGGUCAGGAGGAUUAUUGGGCCUAAAGCAUCCGUAGCCGGCUGCAUAAGUCUUCGGUUAAAUUCAUAUGCUCAACAUAUGGGCUGCCGGAGAUACUGUGCAGCUAGGGAGUGGGAGAGGUAGACGGUACUCGGUAGGAAGGGGUAAAUCCUUUGAUCUAUUGAUGACCACCUGUGGCGAAGGCGGUCUACUAGAACACGUCCGACGGUGAGGGAUGAAAGCUGGGGGAGCAAACCGGAUUAGAUACCCCCGUAGU